Molecule: ribosomal RNA, 252 nt
Filed under: uncultured bacterium
Lineage: Bacteria
Description: partial 16S ribosomal RNA
Rfam family: Bacterial small subunit ribosomal RNA
Source: RNAcentral
UACAGAGGGGGCAAGCGUUGUUCGGAAUUACUGGGCGUAAAGGGCGCGUAGGCGGCCUGUUAAGUCGAACGUGAAAUCCCCGGGCUCAACCCGGGAACUGCGUCCGAUACUGGCAGGCUUGAAUCCGGGAGAGGGAUGCGGAAUUCCAGGUGUAGCGGUGAAAUGCGUAGAUAUCUGGAGGAGCACCGGUGGCGAAGGCGGCAUCCUGAACAGGCAUUGAGGCUGAGGGGCGAAAGCCAGGGAGCAAACGGG